Molecule: long non-coding RNA, 199 nt
Filed under: Arabidopsis lyrata
Lineage: Eukaryota; Viridiplantae; Streptophyta; Magnoliopsida; Brassicales; Brassicaceae
Description: long non-coding RNA (ALYR_LNC003305)
Source: RNAcentral
CACUUCUACCACGUCCAUUCCAUUUACCAUGACUGUGGCCAUGAUACUUAUCUCUUUGGACGUGGUUAGACUCUUUAGUCUCUUUAGGCUCUUCAGCCCAACGGGCUUCUGAUAAUAGGGUAGGACCAGGAGGUCUCAUUUCACUAUUUAUAACUCAUUGUUUUGCUCAGCAAGUAGCAUAUCAGAAUCAAUGUUCUCA